Long non-coding RNA from Brienomyrus brachyistius, 3582 nucleotides. RefSeq lists it as uncharacterized. Lineage: Eukaryota; Metazoa; Chordata; Actinopteri; Osteoglossiformes; Mormyridae. The record is from RefSeq and is a predicted model, not a curated record. The transcript is spliced from 2 exons.
UGAGUCAUCGUUGAGGAGGUUCCCCUGACUUUCCGAGUCAGAAUUCUGACUUUGGGGGCGUUCCGGCUGAAAUCGCUGACUAGGAACUCAGAAUUCCUGACUUCCGAGUUCAAAUGGAACAUUUGGUACACCUAAGGUACACCGGGUUAAAUGGCCUUUAUCUUCGUUCAUUUACAUUCGGCCCGGGCUACCUUAAAUCUGACCAGUUAUCCAGCUAAACUAGAAAUCCCGCUUUCUGAAACAGGCCCCAGUACUGACCUGGUUGAUUGUUAGCCACUGUUAGCAAUAUCAGCUCAUAGCAACAUAUUACGUGGCAUUUUGGGCAUUAAAACACUGCAGUCCACAGACAGCGGUUGGGCUGUACUGUGUGUACAACCGAUUUAAUGAGCCACAAACAAGACAGAGGUGCUAAUAAACUGUAUAAAACUACAGCUUUAACUUCUUUUAUUCCCUGCCUUGUGACUAAAGCAUUGCUGGGGAAUCACAUGCAUUGAGUUUCAUUAUAACUUGUCCCAGUGACAGUAAUGGCAUUUUAUUCUAGGUUCUGGGAGGGACUUUCAGCCUCUGUGAUGCUGAGCAUGAUAAGUGGGUCUGGAUGGAUGGGUGUGCAACAGGGGGCCAGUGAAGUCAAAAAACCAGCUUGUCGUCCCUGUGAAAGCAAAGAGAACAGAGAUGGACCAGGCAGCCAGGGCUUCAGAAGCAGGGCAUUUUGAAAAACUGUCACUUCUGCAGAAUAAGGUACAAGAAAACAAGCGAUAGGGGCGGCAUGGGGGUGCAGCAGUUAGCGCUGCUGCCUCCCACCUCUGGGACCUGGGUUUGAGUCUUGGACAUGGAUGUAUGUGUGUGCAGUUUGCAUGUUCUCCCCGUGUCAUUGUGGCGUUUCCUUCGGGUGCCCUGGUUCCUCCCACGGUACACAAACACGCGGAGGCCGCUUGCAGUUACCAAAUUGCCUGUAGGUGAGUGACUGAUGAGUGACUGUGCCCUGCAAUGGGUUGGCACCCCAUCCUGGGUUGUUCCCUGCCAGGGUGUCCUCUACCUUCCUAGUGUAGAUGCUGGUCCCACCCCCUCAUGUGAACCUGACCAGGAUACAUGGUUAGAAAGUGGUUGGAUGGAUUGUAAUAGUUGUUGUUGUUUUUUAAUUCAGAUAUUUUGCUUUAAUGCUGUUCUGUUCGUAAUAUUGUAUAACAUUAAAAGUGAUUCUGAAAAAAGUGUUUUUAUUUUUAUUCCAGACCAAGGCUCACGAGGUUACAGUUCAUUCUCUCGUUUCUUCUCCACAUUCUUUCCGGUAUAUUCUUCUUUUUCGUUCUCCACUGAAUGCUAAUUCCCUCUUUUACAGUGAAUUAAAAAAGGGGACCGUUCCGAGUGUUUAAUAACAUGAGACACGCUGGGCAGCUGGGCGUUGUGAACACCUGAGCACUUUCAUAAAUCACAAUGCUUACGUUCCUAAGAUGCGGCCCAGAGGAAAUUGAACUACCCUUUCAAUUAAGUCAAUUCAAUUAAGCUUCCCUAGACCGUAUCUUGGAAAAGCCAUAUUUUGCCAAGGAAAGUCGCUCAGAGGCAUCGCCUCACACUACAGCAAUUGUGUUCCCCAGUGGCAAUGUAGAGGCUAAGGGUGACUCACAGUAGAGUAGGAGGCUAAAGAGGAGGUCUCUUCAUGGCCUGUACCAUCACUUUUGUGAAAGAGAUAGAGCCAGAAAGAUGGCGACAACAUUACCCUUCCAGAAGUUCUCUGCAUAAGACAACUUCCAUGAAAUGCCUGUUAUAUAAUAAUACUGUGAUGCCGCGGGGCUUAAUUGCACGUGGACCAGCAUGCAUUGCAUCGGUCUGUAAGUAGAGUAAACACUUGUGCAAAUAAUUUCCGUGAUAUGUGGUUAUGUGAGUGAAUGUAGGUGUUUUUGUAUUCUUGUGAAUUGCUGAGUAUCCUGUUGUGUUGUGAUUGUAACCCCCCCCGAUGGUGUUAGACGUGUAUACUGAUGACUACCCCUGCUUGUGCCUCUACUGGGGCCUCUCUGGCGGUUAUUCUAAGUAAACGGUUAAUUGUGACAUUUUUGCCGGAAGUGGGCUGCGAGGUUGUUAAUGAAAUCGAUGACCUCCUCCACGCCCUACACACAAACCUUCUCAGAUGAUGGUGGAGAGGGACAGAGGCUAACCAGGGAAAUCCCAGGAACUGAGUUCGGCACCUUCCUGGGGUAACCUGAUGGGUCUAGUGCUUCCCACUCACCGUGCUACCCAGAAGAGCAAGUCGUGGCUCCGCAGCAGCAGGUACUGGUGACAGAGAGGACCAGGGUGAAGACCACCCUGAAACUUCAGCACGCUCCUGGAGCCAGGGCUCUCCCAUGUGUGCCUGAAAGCCCAGCACAACACCUGGAGUGAUGAGCACCUGCCGCUGGAGGGGGAGGUGCUCCAAGUCCCCCUCAGUCUGACCCCCAACGAGCAGUGGAACUACGCCACCCUGGUGGUGACGCUAGAUCAGGGCUUCAGUCAGCGGCUAUCAGAGGAAGCAAUGAGGGGGGAGCUAGCAGGUCGGCAGAGACUGGACAGGGAAAUAUUGACUGUGCCGCAAGGUCCAGAAGGGUGAGUCAUGGUGCUUUUGCGUGGACUUCUGGAGUCUGAAUGCUGUGACCCGGAUGGACUCAUUCCCGUUGCCCCGGAUCAAUGAUACAAGCAAUGACAUUACUGGGUCGACGUGGGUUAGCUCCUUAGACCUCCGAAAUGGUACUGGCUGGUCAAACUGGUCCCAGAUCCCUGACCUAAGACUGCGUUCACUAUCAGUCAUGGUCUGUGGGACUUCUGGUUGAUGCCGUUUGGGCUCUGCAACGCGCCGGCCACCAUCGAGAGGUUACUGGAGUGAGUGUUGGCCCAUGUCCCCCACAGUGAGUGCCUAAUCUACCUUGAGGACCUACUCGCCCACCCUGCUGAUUCCGAUGGAGCACUUAGUCAUUUGUGCACUGUGUUCACUGUAAUAUGUAAUGCUGACCUGCACCUCCACCCCCAGAAGUGCUCCCUCCCGCGCUGAAAGAGUCCCCAGGUGACUUAGUGAGCGGUGAGGGCAUGGUGGCAGAUCCACAGAAGAUCACUGCAGUCAACCCGGUGAACUUCAGGCCGCCCCAUAAGCCAGAGAUACUGAGGGAGGUAUACGACGCUGAAGGCCACAAUCACCAUAUCACCCCCCUAUAGCGGCCGAGGACGAGGAUGCGGCAGAGGGUGGAGGCAGGCCGGGGGCUCUGGCAGCACCAGCACCCCAUGGCAUCUGUUGGAUUUUGUGGUGGACUUGGGGGUCACCGGGGACGGCUGAUCCGUUUGGCGGGGGGCAAUGUGAUGCACCAUGUCUAAAACACUUGCAGAGGGGCAUGCAUUGUACUGGACUGUACAUAAUGUAAAUUCUUGUAGAAAUAGUGUUUGUGGUAUGUAGUCGUGUCAGUGAAAGUAGGUGUCUUGCAUUCUUGCGAAGUGCCAAGUUUUCCUAAUGUGGUGUGUUUGUGAUUCAGAUGGUGUUCGACGUGUGUACUGAUCACUUCCCCUGUCCACACCGCUGUUUGGACCUCUCCGGCAGAUGUGCUGAGUAAACGGUGUUUAUCGUCA